UCAGCGGAGAAGCGACAUGGUGUCGCUAAAGAUGCAGAAGCGGCUCGCCGCGAGCGUCCUCCGUUGCGGCCGCCACAAGGUGUGGCUCGACCCUCAUGAGGUGAACCACAUCGCCGUCGCCAACUCCAGGGAAAGCAUAAGAAGGUUAGUGAAGGACGGAUUAGCGGUAAGGAAACCUACAAAGACUCACUCACGGUCUCGAGCACGGCGAGCGCUGGAAGCCAAGCGGAAGGGAAGACACUCGGGAUAUGGUAAGCGAAGGGGUACAACGGAGGCUCGGCUCCCGGCAAAGGUGCUGUGGACGAGGAGAACGCGUGUGCUACGGCGUUUAUUGCGCAGGUACAGGGAAUCCAACAAGAUCGAUAAGUAUCUGUAUCAUCAUAUGUACAUGAAAGCGAAGGGUAAUGUCUUCAAGAACAAGAGGGUGCUGAUGGAGAGCAUUCACAGGAUGAAAGAUGACAAGACCAAGAGAAGGGAGUUUGCAUGACCUUCCACUUAGUAUAUCGUGCGUGUCAACAAUGUUGUAUAUUGUUUGGUUGGAAGCAUAUUUAUUUAUACUACUCCACGUAGCCUAAUUAAACUUCAGGUACUUAGAAACCGCAGGCAUUCCCCAAACAACCCCCCUUUAUACCAGAC
Molecule: RNA transcript, 636 nt
Organism: Musa acuminata AAA Group (dessert banana)
Lineage: Eukaryota; Viridiplantae; Streptophyta; Magnoliopsida; Zingiberales; Musaceae
Gene name: ribosomal protein eL19 pseudogene
Source: RefSeq, marked validated